Unclassified non-coding RNA from Fukomys damarensis (Damara mole-rat), 354 nucleotides. Its record names the gene 7SK. It matches the Rfam family "7SK RNA". From Rfam's summary of the family: 7SK was discovered as an abundant small nuclear RNA in the mid-70s but a possible function has only recently been suggested. Two independent studies have found that 7SK RNA binds the CDK9/cyclin T complex (known as elongation factor P-TEFb). The record is from Ensembl. NCBI's taxonomy places the organism in Eukaryota, Metazoa, Chordata, Mammalia, Rodentia, Bathyergidae.
AGAUACAAGGGCAAUCUGACUGCGACAUCUGUCAGCCUAUUGACUGCCAGAGUUGACUCGGCUGAUCUGGCUGGCUAGGUGGGUGUCCCCUUCCUUCUUCACUGCUCAUUUGCGUCUCCCUCAAAGCUGUAUGCUCUGUCAAAGAGGAUGACCACCCCCGACAGAGGAGGACCAUUUCCUCUACCAAAGGUAUAUGGGUAGCUGUGCUCCCUGUGAUAACCUCCAGACAUGUUCUCAAAGACUAAAUGGGAAAUUUUUAUCAAAAUGGUAAGCUCUGCUGGCAUAGAAAAACAUCUCUACUACCACAAAAACAAAAAUGCUAGAUUUUGAGAAAAAUGCAAUUUUUAACUAUUU